RNAcentral lists this ribosomal RNA (460 nucleotides) under uncultured bacterium. Its description in RNAcentral is "partial 16S ribosomal RNA". It matches the Rfam family "Bacterial small subunit ribosomal RNA", at positions 338 to 795 of the family's 1533-position model. The record is from RNAcentral.
CCUACGGGUGGCAGCAGUGAGGAAUAUUGGUCAAUGGACGAGAGUCUGAACCUGCCAAGUAGCGUGAAGGAUGACUGCUCUAUGGGUUGUAAACUUCUUUUAUAUGGGAAUAAAAUGUUCCACGUGUGGGAUUUUGUAUGUACCAUAUGAAUAAGGAUCGGCUAACUCCGUGCCAGCAGCCGCGGUAAUACGUAGGAUCCGAGCGUUAUCCGGAUUUAUUGGGUUUAAAGGGAGCGUAGGUGGAUUGUUAAGUCAGUUGUGAAAGUUUGCGGCGCAACCGUAAAAUUGCAGUUGAAACUGGCAGUCUUGAGUACAGUAGAGGUAGGCGGAAUUCGUGGUGUAGCGGUGAAAUGCUUAGAUAUCACGAAGAACUCCGAUUGCGAAGGCAGCUCACUGGACUGCAACUGACACUGAGGCUCGAAAGUGUGGGUAGCAAACAGGAUUAGAUACCCCUGUAGUC